AACGUGCCCUGUAGUGGGGGAUAACUAGUCGAAAGAUUAGCUAAUACCGCAUACGACCUGAGGGUGAAAGUGGGGGACCGCAAGGCCUCAUGCUAUAGGAGCGGCCGAUGUCUGAUUAGCUAGUUGGUGAGGUAAAGGCUCACCAAGGCGACGAUCAGUAGCUGGUCUGAGAGGACGAUCAGCCACACUGGGACUGAGACACGGCCCAGACUCCUACGGGAGGCAGCAGUGGGGAAUUUUGGACAAUGGGGGCAACCCUGAUCCAGCAAUGCCGCGUGUGUGAAGAAGGCCUUCGGGUUGUAAAGCACUUUUGUCCGGAAAGAAAUCGCACUUACUAAUAUUAGGUGUGGAUGACGGUACCGGAAGAAUAAGGACCGGCUAACUACGUGCCAGCAGCCGCGGUAAUACGUAGGGUCCAAGCGUUAAUCGGAAUUACUGGGCGUAAAGCGUGCGCAGGCGGUUGUGCAAGACCGAUGUGAAAUCCCCGGGCUUAACCUGGGAAUUGCAUUGGUGACUGCACGGCUAGAGUGUGUCAGAGGGGGGUAGAAUUCCACGUGUAGCAGUGAAAUGCGUAGAGAUGUGGAGGAAUACCGAUGGCGAAGGCAGCCCCCUGGGAUAACACUGACGCUCAUGCACGAAAGCGUGGGGAGCAAACAGGAUUAGAUACCCU
This 670-nucleotide ribosomal RNA is filed under the name Ralstonia insidiosa. RNAcentral describes it as "bacterial SSU rRNA". It matches the Rfam family "Bacterial small subunit ribosomal RNA", at positions 123 to 788 of the family's 1533-position model. Lineage: Bacteria; Pseudomonadati; Pseudomonadota; Betaproteobacteria; Burkholderiales; Burkholderiaceae. The record is from RNAcentral.